This 490-nucleotide ribosomal RNA is filed under the name uncultured bacterium. Its description in RNAcentral is "partial 16S ribosomal RNA". It matches the Rfam family "Bacterial small subunit ribosomal RNA", at positions 30 to 507 of the family's 1533-position model. The record is from RNAcentral.
AUUGAACGCUGGCGGCAGGCCUAACACAUGCAAGUCGAACGGUAACAGGAAGCAGCUUGCUGCUUCGCUGACGAGUGGCGGACGGGUGAGUAAUGUCUGGGAAGCUGCCUGAUGGAGGGGGAUAACUACUGGAAACGGUAGCUAAUACCGCAUAAUGUCGCAAGACCAAAGAGGGGGACCUUCGGGCCUCUUGCCAUCGGAUGUGCCCAGAUGGGAUUAGCUUGUUGGUGGGGUAACGGCUCACCAAGGCGACGAUCCCUAGCUGGUCUGAGAGGAUGACCAGCCACACGGGAACUGAGACACGGACCAGACUCCUAAGGGAGGCAGCAGUGUGGAAUAUUGCACAAUGGGCGCAAGCCUGAUGCAGCCAGGCCGCGUGUAUGAAGAAGGCCUUCGGGUUGUAAAGUACUUUCAGCGGGGAGGAAGGGAGUAAAGUUAAUACCUUUGCUCAUUGACGUUACCCGCAGAAGAAGCACCGGCUAACUCCGUG